This 443-nucleotide ribosomal RNA is filed under the name uncultured fungus. Its description in RNAcentral is "bacterial SSU rRNA". It matches the Rfam family "Eukaryotic small subunit ribosomal RNA", at positions 793 to 1236 of the family's 1831-position model. Lineage: Eukaryota; Fungi. The record is from RNAcentral.
GGGAUCCGAUUUUAGCAUGGAAUAAUAAAAUAGGACGUGUGGUUCUAUUUUGUUGGUUUCUAGGACCGAAGUAAUGAUUAAUAGGGAUAGUCGGGGGCGUCAGUAUUCAGCUGUCAGAGGUGAAAUUCUUGGAUUUGCUGAAGACUAACUACUGCGAAAGCAUUCGCCAAGGAUGUUUUCAUUAAUCAGGGAACGAAAGUUAGGGGAUCGAAGACGAUCAGAUACCGUCGUAGUCUUAACCAUAAACUAUGCCGACUAGGGAUCAGGCAAGGAUAUUUUGACUUGCUUGGCACCUUAUGAGAAAUCAAAGUUUUUGGGUUCCGGGGGGAGUAUGGUCGCAAGGCUGAAACUUAAAGGAAUUGACGGAAGGGCACCACCAGGAGUGGAGCCUGCGGCUUAAUUUGACUCAACACGGGGAAACUCACCAGGUCCAGAAAUCUAGA